Lethenteron reissneri (Far Eastern brook lamprey) is the source of this 431-nucleotide long non-coding RNA. RefSeq lists it as uncharacterized. The record is from RefSeq and is a predicted model, not a curated record. Lineage: Eukaryota; Metazoa; Chordata; Hyperoartia; Petromyzontiformes; Petromyzontidae.
GACGGGAAGGUGUCCCGAGUUCUCCUCGUUGGGAGAGUGCGAGAGUCGAAGCUUGUCUUCCCGCACCUCGACUCAAAGGGAAGGACACACGAGGGGAGGGGCACGACAACAGAUCGAAGCAUCGGUUACGGUCCGUCGGAGCGAGAGGCCUCGGAUGGCGUGGACGCGGUUGUUCGGUGGCUCGGGUUCGCAACGACGCGAGGUCUAUUGUGACGUCACCUUCCACCGGAAUGGCGCCGCCGCCUUGACAGGCACGGCGACUCGAUAAAAAGAAGCGACUUAAAGGUUGAAACUGGAUAAAGUUCACGAUAUCACCGAAUCCACUGAGUUCGCACGACGGAGGAGGCCAGGGGGGGAUCGCGAGCGCACGCUCCAGUGUCGCCGCCACCGCCACCGCCAUCGUUGUGCUUCCUUGGAAGACUUCUCCGGAG